Molecule: ribosomal RNA, 426 nt
Filed under: uncultured bacterium
Lineage: Bacteria
Description: bacterial SSU rRNA
Rfam family: Bacterial small subunit ribosomal RNA
Source: RNAcentral
GUGAGGAAUUUUCCGCAAUGGGCGAAAGCCUGACGGAGCAAUGCCGCGUGAAGGAUGAAGGCCUAUGGGUUGUAAACUUCUUUUCUCAGAAAAGAAUUAUGACGGUAUCUGAGGAAUAAGCAUCGGCUAACUCUGUGCCAGCAGCCGCGGUAAGACAGAGGUUGCAAGCGAUAUCCGGAAUGAUUGGGCGUAAAGCGUCUGUAGGUUGUUUAAAAAGUAUUUUGUCAAAGAUUAGGGCUUAACGAUAGAUAGGCAGAAUAAACUUUUAAGCUAGAGUGUGGAAGAGGGAGAGGGAAUUCCCGGUGGAGCGGUGAAAUGCGUAGAUAUCGGGAGGAACACAGAAGGCGACGGCACUCUGCUGGGCCAAUACUAACACUGAGAGACGAAGGCGAGGGGAGCAAAUGGGAGUAGAAACCCGGGUAGUCC